GACGAACGCUGGCGGCGUGCCUAAUACAUGCAAGUCGAACGCUUCUUUUUCCACCGGAGCUUGCUCCACCGGAAAAAGAGGAGUGGCGAACGGGUGAGUAACACGUGGGUAACCUGCCCAUCAGAAGGGGAUAACACUUGGAAACAGGUGCUAAUACCGUAUAACAAUCGAAACCGCAUGGUUUUGAUUUGAAAGGCGCUUUCGGGUGUCGCUGAUGGAUGGACCCGCGGUGCAUUAGCUAGUUGGUGAGGUAACGGCUCACCAAGGCCACGAUGCAUAGCCGACCUGAGAGGGUGAUCGGCCACAUUGGGACUGAGACACGGCCCAAACUCCUACGGGAGGCAGCAGUAGGGAAUCUUCGGCAAUGGACGAAAGUCUGACCGAGCAACGCCGCGUGAGUGAAGAAGGUUUUCGGAUCGUA
RNAcentral lists this ribosomal RNA (421 nucleotides) under Enterococcus faecium. RNAcentral's name for it is "bacterial SSU rRNA". It matches the Rfam family "Bacterial small subunit ribosomal RNA", at positions 28 to 427 of the family's 1533-position model. Lineage: Bacteria; Bacillati; Bacillota; Bacilli; Lactobacillales; Enterococcaceae. The record is from RNAcentral.